RNAcentral lists this long non-coding RNA (1602 nucleotides) under Gossypium barbadense (sea-island cotton). RNAcentral's name for it is "long non-coding RNA (GBAR_LNC020520)". The record is from RNAcentral. Lineage: Eukaryota; Viridiplantae; Streptophyta; Magnoliopsida; Malvales; Malvaceae.
UCGCCUUUUGAAUCAAAGUAAGUAGGUAGUAGGGGCUUCAUAGCUACUUUAAUUCUAAAGGAAACCUAAAAACCAACCUUCAGUCAGUAGGAGCCCUACUUCCCUCUUUGCGACCUCAUCACUUCAAUUUAAGCGCAAACCCAUUUCUUUUUUAGAGUGAGUUUGGAUGGGUGGUGGUUUUACCUGCGGUUAGUGUAAAAAUAGCGGUGACAGUGAGAUUAGAUACUGUAACGUGAGACAAAAAGUAAGCUAAAUGCACCGCACCUAAUCGCUCAUCCAAAUCCACCCUUAGUCACCGGGCGGAGCGCACCUUUGGUACUUCAGUAGGGCAAGCUGUUUGAUAGUGACUUCUUUCAUUUGCUAGGGCGACGAAAGGCUACUUCCAUCUAGGAAACAGUCAGAAACUCGAGAGGGUCGACUUUGGAAGCGUUCGCCAGUAACCAAAGCGUCACUCCCUCCUUUUGAUUAUGUCGUGACGCUGACUGAAUCCAAUCCAUUACCCCGGAAACGAAACAAAGUUCGUUCCCUUUCGUCAAGUAGGCAUACGAACCACUUACUUUUGCUUUGCCUUAGACUCUAUUAGAAUAAAGCAAAGAAAUAGGCAAAAUGGAGAAAGGAAAGGGACAAGGGCGGUCUUGCUUGGCGCGAAGGCUGCUGGUUUUGAACUUGCUUUUGUUAUGGAACUUUUGAGUUUCUGAAAAUGGGUAUAAUUUUAGAUUAUUCAAAGUUUUUGAGUUUGAAACUUGUAGAAAUGCGAAAACUAUGCAGGGCAACCCAGUUGCUGUUCUUGGACAGUCAAUAUCUUUUGGGAGAUUUAUGUCAGAUCAGUCCUUAGCUUGGGAGAAAUGGUCAACUUUUUCUCACAAAAAAUAUGUAGAAGAGGCUCAGAGAUAUGCUGGACCCGGUUCAGUUGCUCAAGAGAAAGCUUUCUUUGAAGCUCAUUACAAGACCCUUGCAGCUAGGAAAGCACUGCUUGAGCAAGCCAAAGCUAAUGAAGGUAUGGUUCAGGAUAUUGGAACCCAAGUUUCAGAGAUAAUGAACUCAAGCUCUCAAAUGGCAGCCCUUGGCCAUGAAGAAACUGGCUCCAUUUAUGAUGGUAAAGAGAAUAAUAACUCGGAUUUUGUCGAGUUUGAAAGCAGCUUAGUGGAAGGAGCUGACUCAGUUGGUGAACACAAUGUUCUUGUGGAAAUUAAUUUGAAGAAUGAAGCUGAUAUUAAAGAUUUGGAGCUUAGUGAAACAACCCAUGUGGAGAAUCUCGAGAAGAAGGUUAACCAGUAGAGAAAGCUUGAGGAAGGAAUGGAAUUGGAGCUCAGUGAAGAAACCCAGAUGGAGAAACCUCUACUUAAGGUGUCAAGUUAUGGAAGAAGAACCAAAGUGCCAUCUUCAUCUGCUAUUCGUCCCAACAAAGGGAAUAAUGUCACUCCAAUGUCCAACAAGUCUGCAAUGAAGAUUUCUGAUAGAAAGAGAUCAACUCCAAAAUCAAGCCAUAAGUUUAUCAACUCCACCCCUGCAAAAGAAAUCAGUAGAUUAACUUCCACCAUUAUUAGAAAGAUAGAUGGUUCUAGAAUUGCUUCCAAUUUUAAACCAUCUAAAGAAUGCCCC